CCCUUAGAUGUUCUGGGCCGCACGCGUGCUACACUGAGUGGAUCAGCGGGUCAGGUUGCGCGAAAGUGUUUCCUAAUCUUUAAAUCCGCUCGUGAUGGGGAUUGACGGUUGCAAUUUUCCGUCAUGAACGAGGAAUACCUUGUAAGCGCGGGUCAUCAUCCCGCGCUGAAUACGUCCCUGCCCUUUGUACACACCGCCCGUCGCUCCUACCGAUUGAGUGGUCCGGUGAGGCUUUGGGAUCUGAGCAAAGAGAGCGUUUCGCUCGUUUUGCCCGGAAAACUCAGUCGAACCUUAUCAUUUAGAGGAAGGAGAAGUCGUAACA
Molecule: ribosomal RNA, 322 nt
Filed under: uncultured eukaryote
Lineage: Eukaryota
Description: partial 18S ribosomal RNA
Rfam family: Eukaryotic small subunit ribosomal RNA
Source: RNAcentral